RNAcentral lists this unclassified non-coding RNA (377 nucleotides) under uncultured Intrasporangiaceae bacterium. Its description in RNAcentral is "contains 16S-23S intergenic spacer region". Lineage: Bacteria; Bacillati; Actinomycetota; Actinomycetes; Micrococcales; Intrasporangiaceae. The record is from RNAcentral.
UCCGAGUUGACCCCGGCAGUCUCCUAUGAGUCCCCGGCACUACCCGCUGGCAACAUAGAACGAGGGUUGCGCUCGUUGCGGGACUUAACCCAACAUCUCACGACACGAGCUGACGACAACCAUGCACCACCUGUACACCGACCUUGCGGGGCACCCAUCUCUGGGUGUUUCCGGCGUAUGUCAAGCCUUGGUAAGGUUCUUCGCGUUGCAUCGAAUUAAUCCGCAUGCUCCGCCGCUUGUGCGGGCCCCCGUCAAUUCCUUUGAGUUUUAGCCUUGCGGCCGUACUCCCCAGGCGGGGCGCUUAAUGCGUUAGCUGCGGCACGGAACCCGUGGAUAGGGCCCCACACCUAGCGCCCAACGUUUACGGCAUGGACUAC